Bos taurus (domestic cattle) is the source of this 501-nucleotide long non-coding RNA. Lineage: Eukaryota; Metazoa; Chordata; Mammalia; Artiodactyla; Bovidae. The record is from Ensembl.
GUACUUGGUGCUCGUUUUAGGUUCCCUGGAGGGGCAGGAGCAGCGGCGGCCAGGAGGGUCCGCGGCUCAGCGCAGGGGGCCGAGGCCCGGAGGGCGGCCCCUCGCCGUCAGCGCUGCGACCGGGACGUCCACCUGCCGGCCCCCCGAGCCCCCGUGGGGUCCCCCGUGGGCCCCCGGGACCGCGGACAGCGCUGCCCGAGCCUCCCUGGCCGCCCGCCGGCCUCCCCGCGUCCCCAGGUUCCAUUCUGUUACAGGCCAUUGCAGAGUACUGUGUAGAGUUCCCUGUGCCAGACGAGUUACACUGUUACAAUCAAAGAUCUUAUACAGAAGUACAUAUCUGAUCAACUGCUUCAAGUCACCUGCUGCUGCUGCUGCUAAGUCGCUUCAGUUGUGUCCGACUCCGUGCGACCCCAUAGACGGCAGCCCACCAGGCCCUGCCGUCCCUGGGAUUCUCCAGACAAGAACACUGGAGUGGAUUGCCAUUUCCUUCUCCAGUGCAUG